GUUUUGCGUAAGGGGUAGGAGCGGCAUCCUUUUUGGGACUCGCUUUUUCGGCGAGGGCCCAAAAAGAUAUAGCGUAUGACCCGACCCGCU
Molecule: small RNA, 90 nt
Filed under: Flavobacterium sp. 9R
Lineage: Bacteria; Pseudomonadati; Bacteroidota; Flavobacteriia; Flavobacteriales; Flavobacteriaceae
Description: Flavo-1
Rfam family: Flavo-1 RNA
Source: RNAcentral